This 148-nucleotide ribosomal RNA is filed under the name Actinomycetota bacterium. Its description in RNAcentral is "Actinobacteria bacterium partial 16S ribosomal RNA". It matches the Rfam family "Bacterial small subunit ribosomal RNA", at positions 1 to 148 of the family's 1533-position model. Lineage: Bacteria; Bacillati; Actinomycetota. The record is from RNAcentral.
UUCUAUGGAGAGUUUGAUCCUGGCUCAGGACGAACGCUGGCGGCGUGCUUAACACAUGCAAGUCGAGCGAUGAAACACCUUCGGGUGUGAAUUAGCGGCGAACGGGUGAGGAACACGUGAGAAAUCUGCCUUCAACUCUGGGAUAACU